GUGAGUGGUCAUUGCUUCUCCUGGGGGGCACCUUGAUCUACCAAAGAACACCAGAAGAUGAAGAAUGACACCUUGAGUGCUGGUGAAGAAAGACAAGAUUGGAAACCUGCCAAGCAUGAAAGUGUAAAUGGAUAUACAUCUGUUGAAGUGAGAAGACUGCAUGAGGUUGAAGUAAGGAGACUGAGUCAAACAAGCUCAGAAUGAAUUUGGGGAUACCAGGAAGAUGUUUCAUACUACAGAUAAUUGCCAGAUUGGUCUAGUAGACAGUGCAGACCAACACAGGAAGAUGAUAUCCACUUUCUGGAUCCGGAGGCUGUAUUCCAGAAGGGAAAGCUGCUGGAGCUCUACUCGGGGGUCCAGAGACCACUUGUCCUGACCAGCAAAAAUGAUGCCAGAACGAUUUAACCAGGCCACCUUGGAGCUUUUGUCUUCUAUAAAACACCUGUAUGAGAUGACAGAACGAAAUACUGGUUUCUAAGAAGUCCGUGCAUUUGGAAUUUAAAACAAGCAUGAAAACUUUUCCUAUGGUCCCAUCACACUGAUAAUGCAUGUAUUGUAAUGGCACAUCUCUAGAGGACAUUUUAAUUUUCCAGAGUACUUUCCAACCGUUCCUAUAUUUCCCUUCUUAAUAAUCCAUAAUCAGUAAAAUUGCAACUAUUCUUAUCUGUUGAUCUAGCCAUAGAACUAGGAUUACAAUUGUAGUAUGUGCCAAAUGAGCAAUAUUGACCUAGGAAUCACAGCUGAAUCUGUUUGUAAUGGUCAGUUCCCAAACUAAUAAGAAUUAAGAAGAUGGUUUUAUAAGCAGUCAUUGGCGAGCUCCUUUGUUAUCACUGAAGAGGCCUACCAGUUUAUGGCUUAACAGAAAAAAAGUAAAAAAAAAAAAAAAAAUGAGGAAGACUACCCCAAUUAUAUGUUAGUGAGAAUACAGAACACAAAACAUUCCAAGUACUAUGCCAGUUUGAGGAAGGAAAGAUUAAGGCUAUGAGCUGUAUUUUCUGUUACAUUACACAUUGCCUUUCUAGCACUGUUUUGUGCCAUACCUUUUGGCAUUAAAAUGGUGUGCUAUUGCUUAUUUACCCCCAACGGGCUGUAUCAGAUAGCUUUCAGCUACUGAAAAGUAGAUACUGCUUGUCCCUUAGCCAACCUCAGUUCAACAUCUCAUGCCUUUCUUGAUCAAAAAGAUGAGAAACCUGUUCAGAGUGUACAGAUUCUUACUGCUUUCUUAUCUGCUUAUACCACCAUGUAAUACAUAAAUAGGACAGUGAUACAAAAAUGCAGUACAAUUUACCACUUUCACAUGGCAUGUUAUUGUCGAUACUAAGAGGAUAUUAAUAGGCAGAGAAAUGAACAGAGAGCCUUUGCAAGCACCAUAACUCACUUAAUCCUUAGAUAUGAAAGCAUAAAGAAGCUCUUACAAGUUUGGGAGCUCCAACAGUAUCUCAUGGAUGAAACCAGCCAGUAAGGGUUCUGGAGUAACAUGGCUUCAUCAGAUUUGGAAGGAAUAUAUAAUUGUUUACAUGAGACAACAUGAGAGGGACAGCUGUUUGGCUGACAUUGGUGAACUUAAAAAGAACUUGAUUUAUUUUGAUUCCAUGAUUAAAUACAUUUUGGUUACUGUCUAUAUGGAAAAAACUUCUAUAUACAAACUACACAAUGCAAUUUAGAGUGCUCCUAAGUAUAAAUAAGUAAAAUGAUAUAUUUUGGUACAUGUUGUAGUUUUCCAUUGUUCAUUAAUUAGAAAAUUGGCACUGUCCUCCUUACAAUAAAACCAACAAAAUCCUGAUGGAUACUCCAGCCCAAAUCAGCUGCUAGUGGAAGUGAAUACAUUAGGACUAGCAGAAUAACAUGUAUUUCCAUGUUGUUUUCCCUUCUUCAGUAUACAUUUUAAUUAUUUGU
Molecule: non-coding RNA, 1896 nt
Organism: Python bivittatus (Burmese python)
Lineage: Eukaryota; Metazoa; Chordata; Lepidosauria; Squamata; Pythonidae
Source: RefSeq, a predicted model, not a curated record